This 809-nucleotide ribosomal RNA is filed under the name Lirula macrospora. Its description in RNAcentral is "eukaryotic LSU rRNA". The stretch from base 490 to 643 matches the Rfam family "5.8S ribosomal RNA". The record is from RNAcentral. Lineage: Eukaryota; Fungi; Ascomycota; Leotiomycetes; Rhytismatales; Rhytismataceae.
CUUAUUGAAGCCUUUGCAGCCCCACGGGGCCGGCACCGCGACUCGAAACAAUGGUGACCGCUGCAAGUCGAUUCGUUCGGCAACACAACCAAAUUACCGGGAAAUCCCAGGCGUGCUUGGGAGAUCCGUAGCAUUCUCAGCUCUUGCUGGGCGUGUUCACAGACUAAAUGGUUGUGGGUUCGGCUUCCACAGCUGAGCUUAAGAUAUAGCCGGGCUUUGUGAGAAAUCAUAGAGGCUUGCAUUUGGAAAUUCAUCGCAGUAGCUAGCUAGUUAAGCUGGGUACUGUUGGGAAACCAAUGCAUGCAAAACCGUUCCGUAGGUGAACCUGCGGAAGGAUCAUUAGAGAAAAAAGGGGGGUGGACGCCGCCCCCAUUCUCACACCCUGUGUCUACUUACCCUGUUGCUUUGGCGGCGCCGGCUCCGGCCGGGCAAGUCCGUCAAGGGCCCAACUCCUGCAUCUCUGUGGUCUGAGUACUAUCUAAUAGUUAAAACUUUCAACAACGGAUCUCUUGGUUCUGGCAUCGAUGAAGAACGCAGCGAAAUGCGAUAAGUAAUGUGAAUUGCAGAAUUCAGUGAAUCAUCGAAUCUUUGAACGCACAUUGCGCCCUCUGGUAUUCCGGGGGGCAUGCCUGUUCGAGCGUCAUUACAACCCUCAAGCGCAGCUUGGUGUUGGGCUCGCCCUGUAGGGCCUGCCUCAAAGUCAGUGGCGGCGCCGUCCGAUCCCAAGCGUAGUACUACUCGCCGCUGGGGGCAUCGGGCGAUGGCCUGCCAGCAACCCCCACCAUCACAGGUGACCUCGGAUCAGGUAG